RNAcentral lists this ribosomal RNA (253 nucleotides) under uncultured Ktedonobacter sp. Its description in RNAcentral is "partial 16S ribosomal RNA". It matches the Rfam family "Bacterial small subunit ribosomal RNA", at positions 524 to 776 of the family's 1533-position model. Lineage: Bacteria; Bacillati; Chloroflexota; Ktedonobacteria; Ktedonobacterales; Ktedonobacteraceae. The record is from RNAcentral.
UACGUAGGGGGCGAGCGUUGUCCGGAGUUACUGGGCGUAAAGGGCGUGCAGGCGGUCUGGUAAGUUUGGAGUGACAGUACCCGGCUCAACUGGGUAAGGCCUUCGAAAACUGUCAGACUUGAGGACCAGAGAGGGACAUAGAAUUCCGGGUGGAGUGGUGAAAUGCGUAGAUAUCCGGAGGAAUACCAAAGGCGAAGGCAGUGUCCUGGAUGGUUACUGACGCUGAGGCGCGAAAGCUAGGGGAGCGAACAGG